UACAUAGGGGGCAAGCGUUAUCCGGAAUUAUUGGGUGUAAAGGGUGCGUAGACGGAGAAACAAGUUGGUUGUGAAAUCCCUCGGCUCAACUGAGGAACUGCAACCAAAACUAUUUCCCUUGAGUGUCGGAGAGGAAAGUGGAAUUCCUAGUGUAGCGGUGAAAUGCGUAGAUAUUAGGAGGAACACCAGUGGCGAAGGCGACUUUCUGGACGAUAACUGACGUUGAGGCACGAAAGUGUGGGGAGCAAACAGG
This 253-nucleotide unclassified non-coding RNA is filed under the name uncultured Oscillospiraceae bacterium. RNAcentral describes it as "contains 16S-23S intergenic spacer region". It matches the Rfam family "Bacterial small subunit ribosomal RNA", at positions 524 to 776 of the family's 1533-position model. The record is from RNAcentral. Lineage: Bacteria; Bacillati; Bacillota; Clostridia; Eubacteriales; Oscillospiraceae.